AUACAAGUAGUAGGGAAGGAAACUGACGACCUUCGGGGAGCUUGUACAGGUGCUGCAUGCUGUCGUCAGCUCGUGUCGUGAGAUGUUCGGUUAAGUCCGCUAACGAGCGCAACCCUCGCUGUGUGUUACAAGUGUCACACGGAACUGCCGGUCAUAAACCGGAGGAGGGUGGGGAUGACGUCAAGUCAGCAUGGCCUUUAUAUCCUGGGCUACACACACGCUACAAUGGGAAGGGACAAUAGGUUGCGAAGCCGCGAGGCGGAGCCAAUCCAGCAAAACUUCCCUCAGUUCAGAUUGCAGGCUGCAACUCGCCUGCAUGAAGUUGGAGUUGCUAGUAAACGCAGGUCAGCCAUACUGCGUUGAAUACGUUCCCGGGGCUU
This 380-nucleotide ribosomal RNA is filed under the name uncultured Anaerolineaceae bacterium. Its description in RNAcentral is "bacterial SSU rRNA". It matches the Rfam family "Bacterial small subunit ribosomal RNA", at positions 986 to 1382 of the family's 1533-position model. Lineage: Bacteria; Bacillati; Chloroflexota; Anaerolineae; Anaerolineales; Anaerolineaceae. The record is from RNAcentral.